CUUUUCUACUGUCCUGGUGAAAUGGACUCAGUGUUCCUGAAACUAGAAAACCCUGGUGGUGCUAUUUCCCAUGAAGUAGCUUGGCAGUGACUCAAGUUCAGAAGCUGACAGGUGACAGAGCUGGUGCACAAUCUAUAACUUGCUCAAGGUUGGCCAGAAACCUGUGGCAGAAAGUAGAAUUGCAAUACCCUUACAAUUACGGUUGCAAAAAUGUUUAAACUCACUUCUAACAGCCAUCAUCCAA
This 244-nucleotide long non-coding RNA is filed under the name Anas platyrhynchos platyrhynchos (common mallard). RNAcentral describes it as "lncRNA (ENSAPLG00000025672.1)". Lineage: Eukaryota; Metazoa; Chordata; Aves; Anseriformes; Anatidae. The record is from RNAcentral.